GUGCUUGCUUCAGCAGCACAUACACUAAAAUUGGAAAAUACAGAGAAGAUUAGCAUGGCCCUUGCAGAAGGAUGACACACAAAUUCAUGAAGUGUUCCAAAUUUUU
RNAcentral lists this small nuclear RNA (106 nucleotides) under Notamacropus eugenii (tammar wallaby). The record is from RNAcentral. Lineage: Eukaryota; Metazoa; Chordata; Mammalia; Diprotodontia; Macropodidae.